Molecule: non-coding RNA, 3171 nt
Organism: Xyrichtys novacula (pearly razorfish)
Lineage: Eukaryota; Metazoa; Chordata; Actinopteri; Labriformes; Labridae
Source: the annotation of a GenBank genome assembly
ACCUGAACACAUCACCUGCAGCUCCGGUGUGUGUGAGAACGUGGGUGACGAGAAAAAAACGGAAAAAAAGGGAGAAAAGUCAUGCAGCCGCGGAGCAAAAGUGUCCUCGUUCAGCGGCCAGAUAUCAUGAUUUUGAGUUGUGAGAGAGUUGUGACAGAAUUGUAGUUAGCAGAGAGCGUGAAGAGAUACUCACCUGGUGAAACCGAUCACGGGAGGGACUCAAACCGAGAGUUCUCCGUACUUUUCUGAACUAUUCUGGUGAGUUAACGUUAGCUGCCUCGUUAGCUUGAUUAGUGGUAUCAUUUUUGUUCGGUACAGGAAGAAAAAAAGCCAGUCAGAAUAGUAAAUACAUGUUUAGUGGUGUCGAGACAUGUUUUUGUGAUGACAUGAUGAUAUGUUUUUAUUGUGUGUUACUGUGACAAACAGCUAGUAGUUUACCGAGCAGUUAGCUCAGCUGCGGCUUGCUAACUAGGCCAAGCACGGCCGAGUAUUUAAUAUUUUCUGUGUUUUGAGUUGUUUCAUAUUUCAUGUAAUAAGCUGCAUUGGUUAAUGUGCACUGGAAAAGUAAGCAGACAGCCAUUUAAGCUGAUAAUAAUUACGCUGCAUAUUAUGCAGGCUGGUUUUUUUUGAGGACGAGUUCUUCUGUUCAACUGUGAUCCACAUCGUCCGCUGUUGCCCCGUGGAGGCUCUUGGUUCAACAACAAGCCGUAUCACCCGCCAUGCUGCAGGGAGGCUCUUGGUUCAUCGGGACCAGUGUGGACAUCGGUGUGGUAUGGAAAGGUUCUGAGGAGUGACACAUUUUGUUUGCACUUUUUUCUGAGAUCUCAGUAAUUUUUGGGGGUUUUUAUUUUUAUUUUUUCCUAUUUUUUGGAAAGGAACGGAACUUAAAAAAACUGUUUUCUUCUUGGAGGACCCUGAAGGACAAUAAAAAAACUAAGGACAAUCAAACUCAUUAAAAGGGAAAGAAACAUUUUUUUUUUCUUUAUCUUAUCCUUAUUAUUUUCUAUAUUGGUACUUCCUGGUCAGCUGAUUUCAUUUUUUUAUGUUGUGAAUUUAAAAAAAAAAAACCCUGUACUUUAUUUAACGGAUGCAAGGCCGAAUAUUUUGAGUUGAAGAAAAAAACUGAAGAUCUGAAUAUACUUUUUUGAAAAAAAACAGCAUUCUGUGUCGUGUGCUUUGUGGGCUGGAGAUCAACUGCUCUCGUGCUUCAGUGCUACUGCCAAUCUCCUCACCCAAACCUAGUUGAUCAGACAGAACCAGAGAAGACUGAGGAAAAGGUUACAUACAAAAGUGGCGAGCCAGCCAGGAGAUUGGUUUAUAGUAGCUUUCUGAUCUUCCACCCCACAAUACACACCCUUGAGAUUUAGACAUUCAUUUCAUUGAGUCAGAUAUGGAUAUUUGUAACCGUUUUGAGGUUAAUGGUCAGAACUCUCUAUACGUAACUGGUAUAGGAUCAGAUUACACAGAUGAAGAAGUCAAUACUGUGUUCAGAGUUAAUGGAGACAUUUCAAAAAUAGUUAGGAUCCCUGACGAGUCAGGACAACCAGAGGGCAGAGCCCUGAUCCAGUACGCAUCUGACAGGUCCAUCUCUAGAAUCGACCCCAUUACCUUGGGUACCGUACCCAGCCCAAAGGAUCCUGAAGUGUCGUGGUUUGCAAGAACCAUUAGAGAUGUUUGCCAGGAAGAGAUGGGGAGGGAGAUAGCUCGCAGAUACCUGGGUGAGCUAGAGUCUGUUGCUGGCAGUGGCAGAGCAGGUUUCUUGAGUGUGCUUCAAGGGGAACUGCAGGGAACCCAGGGCACAUCACACAAUGUACACAGUAGUGUUACACAGCCACAUGCAACUGAAAAUGAUAACACACGUAGUAGUCAAAAUGAGCCUGCAGAGCCCACACAGGUUCAUAGUGCAUCUGCUAGUGUACCAGCCAGCCCAAUCCACGUCAGUGAAAAUGUUUUCAAUCCCCCCCAUAUCCAGAAAGUGAUUGUGGAGCAUGUCAUCCGCAGUGAGUCCAUCACUUCAUCAUCCCCACAAAUAAGGAUGCGCACCUUCUCCGGACGAAUGCCAAGGCCAAAUGGUGAGGUGGAUUAUGAAACGUGGCGCACCCAAGUUGAUCUUCUCCUUAACGAUCCUUCCCUGAACGACGCUCACAAGGUGAGAAGGAUUCUUGAGAGCUUGCUGAGUCCAGCAGCUGAUGUCGUGAAGCCUCUUGGCAUUUCUUCACCACCGAGCAGUUAUGUCACUCAACUUGAUUCUGCUUUUGGUGUUGUGGAGGAUGGAGAGGAGUUGUUCGCUACAUUUCUCAGCUCUAACCAAAACAAUGGAGAGAAACCAUCAGCAUAUCUGAACAGGCUCCACAGCCUCCUCACAAGGGCAAUUUCUAGAGGGGGAGUCUCAGCUGAAAACUCCAAUGAUCACUUGCUCAGACAAUUCUGUAGGGGCUGUUGGGAUCAGAGCAUCAUCAUAGGCCUACAGUUAGAGUGCAAAAGAAGCAACCCACCAACAUUCCCAGAGUUCCUCCUCAUGCUGAGAACUGAGGAAGACCGUCGUUCAGCAAAGCUAGAUAGGAUGAAAAAGCAUUUGGGUACUUCAAAAGCUAACAUGUAUGCCCACCAUGUUUUUGAUAUGCCCUCUUAUGACUGUGAGCCUGUCCCAUUGCCUAACAUAAAACAAAAUGAGACAUCAAAGCUUGAAAAGAAAGUGAAUGAACUAAGUAAACAGCUGGAAAAGCUAAGCAAAAAGCCACAGAGCCUCACUCAUCAUAGUAUCCCUCCCCCAGUGGCAAAACCAAGGCAGAAUGAAACCUCUGACAUUGAGAACAAGAUAGCUGAACUGACAAAACAAGUUGGAAAACUAGCACAGAAUCAGAGAGAGAGUGAGGGUGCUCAAAAGAAAGACUGCCUCGUGAUCAGUAGCAAUAACACGAGGAGACCCUUCAAGGUGCCUGGGAUGCCGAGGCCGUGGUUUUGUUUUAAGUGUGGGGAGGACAACCACAUUGCUGCUCAUUGCUCAAACGAACCCAACCCCACACUGGUUCGCAAGAAAAAUGCGGAACUCAGGGAGAGGCAGGAUAAGUUUUUUACUCAGCAGGUUGCUUCCCCAUUUGCUUUAAACUAGCAGCAGCUCCUGCCAUGGGACAUCCAGGAGCUGUAGUCGAGGAUAACCCCUGUCCCAAC